This 440-nucleotide ribosomal RNA is filed under the name uncultured Anaerolineae bacterium. Its description in RNAcentral is "partial 16S ribosomal RNA". It matches the Rfam family "Bacterial small subunit ribosomal RNA", at positions 338 to 794 of the family's 1533-position model. The record is from RNAcentral. Lineage: Bacteria; Bacillati; Chloroflexota; Anaerolineae.
CCUACGGGAGGCAGCAGUGAGGAAUAUUGCGCAAUGGGCGAAAGCCUGACGCAGCGACGCCGCGUGGGCGACGAAGGCCUUCGGGUUGUAAAGCCCUUUUGGCAGGGACGAGUGAGGACGGUACCUGCCGAAUAAGUCUCGGCUAACUACGUGCCAGCAGCCGCGGUAAAACGUAGGAGGCGAGCGUUAUCCGGAUUUACUGGGCGUAAAGCGCGCGUAGGCGGUCGGUCAAGUCAGAUGUUAAAGCCCCUGGCUCAACUAGGGGAGGUCAUUUGAUACUGUCCGGCUUGAGGGUGAGAGAGGAGAGUGGAAUUCCCGGUGUAGUGGUGAAAUGCGUAGAGAUCGGGAGGAACACCCGUGGCGUAGGCGGCGUCCUGGCCGACACCUGACGCUGAAGCGCGAAAGCGUGGGGAGCGAACGGGAUUAGAUACCCCUGUAGU